AUUGAACGCUGGCGGCAGGCCUAACACAUGCAAGUCGAACGGUAACAGGAAACAGCUUGCUGUUUCGCUGACGAGUGGCGGACGGGUGAGUAAUGUCUGGGAAACUGCCUGAUGGAGGGGGAUAACUACUGGAAACGGUAGCUAAUACCGCAUAACGUCGCAAGACCAAAGAGGGGGACCUUCGGGCCUCUUGCCAUCGGAUGUGCCCAGAUGGGAUUAGCUAGUAGGUGGGGUAACGGCUCACCUAGGCGACGAUCCCUAGCUGGUCUGAGAGGAUGACCAGCCACACUGGAACUGAGACACGGUUCAGACUCCUACGGGAGGCAGCAGUGGGGAAUAUUGCACAAUGGGCGCAAGCCUGAUGCAGCCAUGCCGCGUGUAUGAAGAAGGCCUUCGGGUUGUAAAGUACUUUCAGCGGGGAGGAAGGGAGUGAAGUCAAUACCUUUGCUCAUUGACGUUACCCGCAGAAGAAGCACCGGCUAACUCCGUGCCAGCCGCCGCCGUAA
This 506-nucleotide ribosomal RNA is filed under the name uncultured bacterium. Its description in RNAcentral is "partial 16S ribosomal RNA". It matches the Rfam family "Bacterial small subunit ribosomal RNA", at positions 30 to 523 of the family's 1533-position model. The record is from RNAcentral.